Molecule: long non-coding RNA, 771 nt
Organism: Amblyraja radiata (thorny skate)
Lineage: Eukaryota; Metazoa; Chordata; Chondrichthyes; Rajiformes; Rajidae
Exons: 3
Source: RefSeq, a predicted model, not a curated record
CCAGCAUUUUGUGUCUAUCUUUGGAGGGAGAUGGAUCAUGUGCAGACAGAGAUUAAUUUCAUGGUCGGCAUGGACAUUGUGGGCCGAAGGGCCUGUCCGUGUGCUGUGCUGUUCUAUGUUCCAAGUUGAAGAGGCAAAUCAAAAACUGUAAAUGCUAACAAUAUUAUUCUACUCCUGCAACAACCGUGGAAAUAAAAACAGAGUCACAGGCCAAUGACAAGUUGAAUAAUUUGGCACAAACAUUUACUCUGUUUCUCUCCACAGACGUUGAGUAUUUACAACAGUUUCUGUUCAUGCUUCAGAUUUUCAGCUGUGAUACACUGUACAUUAGCUGACUAAUCCUGGUGGCAGGGCAGCAGCUGAAGAGUGAGGCAAGGUGGUUUUUGGAUAUUAAGGGAAUAAAUGAUACGGGGUCAGUACAGGAAAGUGGAGUUGAGGUGAAAGUCAGCCCCUAUAUUAAACUGUGUAUUCCUGCCUCCAUUUCUGACAUGCUAGUGUGAACUAGGCUUCACAAUUUACAGUAUACUAACCACUUAGGCUUGAAAUCAAACGUUUCCUAAUUUUGCACUGAAACCUAAGUGAGAGGUUGUUAAUGGUUUGGAGGGCAGUUAGAGCUUAGAGCUGGGAAUAUAUAUUUUGGCAAGAAAAAUAAGAAAGGUAUGUUAUUUCAAAACUAAGAUUGUUAUAGGGCCAGAGCAGCAAAGAGCACAGAUAGAUCACUUAAGGAACAGUGCGGGCUGAUGAGGGUACACAAAAUGCUGGAGUAACUCA